UUGAAGAGUUUGAUCCUGGCUCAGAUUGAACGCUGGCGGCAUGCCUAACACAUGCAAGUCGAACGGC
RNAcentral lists this ribosomal RNA (67 nucleotides) under Gambierdiscus australes. Its description in RNAcentral is "partial Bacterial small subunit ribosomal RNA". The record is from RNAcentral. Lineage: Eukaryota; Dinophyceae; Gonyaulacales; Pyrocystaceae.